Molecule: long non-coding RNA, 224 nt
Filed under: Homo sapiens (human)
Lineage: Eukaryota; Metazoa; Chordata; Mammalia; Primates; Hominidae
Description: HSALNT0251329
Source: RNAcentral
CGUGGCUCUUUUUCACUUUACUAUAUCAUAAAUCUUGGCAAGAAUGCUCAAUGGAAAGGAACAGUCCAUGGAAGGAACCUUGGCUCAGAGACCCUAGGGAAGAUGAAACCAGCUGACAGAAGCCUGGCCUGCAUCUCCAGGGAAAUUUAACUCAAUCUUCUAAAGCUUGGAGAGGGGCUGAAUGUUUACGUCCCUUCAAAUUCAUCUGUGGAAGCACUAACCCC